This 253-nucleotide ribosomal RNA is filed under the name uncultured bacterium. RNAcentral describes it as "partial 16S ribosomal RNA". It matches the Rfam family "Bacterial small subunit ribosomal RNA", at positions 524 to 776 of the family's 1533-position model. The record is from RNAcentral.
UACGUAGGGUGCAAGCGUUGUCCGGAAUUAUUGGGCGUAAAGAGCUCGUAGGCGGUCUGUCGCGUCGGCUGUGAAAUCCCGAGGCUCAACCUCGGGUCUGCAGUCGAUACGGGCAAACUGGAGUGUUGCAGGGGAGACUGGAAUUCCAGGUGUAGCGGUGAAAUGCGUAGAGAUCUGGAGGAACACCGAUGGCGAAGGCAGCCUUCUGGGCCAACACUGACGCUCAUGCACGAAAGCGUGGGGAGCAAACAGG